GCCCGGAUGGUGGAAUCGGUAGACACAAGGGAUUUAAAAUUAGGGAGCCGCAAGCGCGACAACCGAUUUAAAAUCCCUCGGCGUUCGCGCUGUGCGGGUUCAAGUCCCGCUCCGGGUACCA
Molecule: transfer RNA, 121 nt
Filed under: Salmonella enterica subsp. enterica serovar Adelaide str. A4-669
Lineage: Bacteria; Pseudomonadati; Pseudomonadota; Gammaproteobacteria; Enterobacterales; Enterobacteriaceae
Description: tRNA-OTHER
Rfam family: tRNA
About the family: Transfer RNA (tRNA) molecules are approximately 80 nucleotides in length.
Source: RNAcentral